GUGGAUUAUGGUCCUUGUACAAGUUGAUGUGGACAAGUUGAUGUGGAAGGGAGAUGCAUAAAGGCCCUAAUAUAUGUGUUAAAAUCUUUAGUACACAAUGAGUUGAGAUAUGCGCUGAGUCAACUUAUCCGAGGCUCAUGAAAUGCAUGUCAAAUUUUAGUUUCAUUCGAGUAAAGGCGAAUCAGGGGAUUGCCUGGUGCAUAUUAUAUUCUUUCGUGUAUUUGAAGGACGAGAAAUAAAUAGCUUUGGUGAGCUGUUUGUGUUCUAAUUUCUAAAUGAAGUGAGGGUGGUAUGUUCAUGAGUUGGACCUGAAGUUGUGGAUGUUGGACUGCAAAAACAGGUUGACUGGGCUAGUGCCUGGUUGAGUCAUGCUAAAUUGUACAGAGUCGGUUGAGUUUUUUAGCAGUAUUGACACGACUCAUCAAGUCAUGACUGAGUCAUGCUGGCCAGUGAGUUUCUGUGAAACCUGGCUCUUGGAAUCUCUUUGAACCGAGUCGACUCAACAUGGUUGAGUUGACCCACCAAGUUUUAGUACUAUGAUCUCUAGAUGGAUGGCUCUGAUUGAUGCAUCACUUACUGAGUGUGCCAUGGAUGGAAAGAGCAGUGUAUGUUCUUUUGACAAAUUUUUUUCUCCACAUGGAGUGCCCGAUGCACACAGAACAAGGAAACACCUAGGUAGAGAAGCAAAGAAAAACCACCAGCAUCUAGAUCUAUAAAAUACUCUAGUUGUGGUUAGAUAUUUUAGCCCCCACAAUUAGGUUUUGAGGUUCUUAUAUUCAAAGGAUGUGGGGGAAUCUCUUUUAAAUUAAGGUUAGGGUUAUAUUAGGAAAGUGAAAAUGUGGCUGCUGCUCAAGGGCCAACUCUGAUUUCACCCGGAAUUGCCAACCAAUGGCUCUGUUUUCACUGACGAAAGCCAACAUAGGCUUACGUUUUACCCACAAGCAACCUCUCCACUCUAGUUUUUUCUUGUACCCUGGUGGUCCUUUUGACUAUUAGUAGUUCACUACUUGGGAAAUAAUUCAAAUCAUAAAUGAAUGUUCCCUCUUUUUUUUUCUUUUUCUUUUCCUGCUACCAUUUAUUUUGUAUAUUCAUGCCUAUUCCUUAUUUUGGAGCUAAUUUGUUCAAUCUCCAUUCGAUAAAUGGUUGUCAUGGCUUUUCGUGGAAUGCAUGUGUCAUAUCAUUAUUCAGGAUUGUCCCAACUAUUUGGCGUUGGCUAUUGAAUGCAUCUGUUUCUUUGUGCCUGUGGUGGUGAGCAUCUUCUUUGUUGCAUCUCAUAUAUGAUGAGUGAACUGUGACAUUUUGUUUGAAGCUCAACUUUAGGGAACUAUUCAGGACCACCUACAAAUAUUCAACAUUAAGAUGAAGGCAAAAAUGAAAUCACAUCAGAUGCCUGAGCAGGUUGUGUUUUGGAAGUGGAUUACGCCAAAGAUGUUGGGGCUGGUCACACAAACAUCAGUGUAUCAUUUGUCAAUAGAAGGUAGUAUUACAUUUUUCUUUUCGUACAAGGGUUCUUUUGAACUACAUUCAGUUUCUCGCUUUUCUUUUUUGAUAGAUCAAUUUAUAUUUCAGUUAGGAACUUCCAUUACAUUGUUGAAUUGCUGGCUUUAAAAUUUACAAAACUUAUUUGUAGGUGAUUCAGAGUGUAUAAAGAUUUGUUUCAGAUAUUUUGAUAUGUAACCAUGUGCUAAUA
This is a long non-coding RNA of Magnolia sinica, 1690 nucleotides long. RefSeq lists it as uncharacterized. The record is from RefSeq and is a predicted model, not a curated record. The transcript is spliced from 2 exons. Lineage: Eukaryota; Viridiplantae; Streptophyta; Magnoliopsida; Magnoliales; Magnoliaceae.